AUUACUUCAGAAGUGAUAGAAAAGUGCACAACUCCUCUGUCUGAUGACCAUGAUGAGAAAUAUGGAGUCCCUUCACUGGAAGAGCUAGGUUUCGAUACAGAUGGCUUAUCCUCUGCAGUGUGGCCAGGCGGAGAAACUGAAGCACUUACUCGUUUGGAAAGGCAUUUGGAAAGAAAAGCUUGGGUGGCAAAUUUUGAAAGACCUCGAAUGAAUGCGAAUUCUCUGCUUGCAAGCCCUACUGGACUUAGUCCUUAUCUCCGAUUUGGUUGUUUGUCAUGUCGACUGUUUUACUUCAAACUAACAGAUCUCUACAAAAAGGUAUUCUCUAAAAUUAGAGCUUACUGUUUAAUACUUUAAAAAAAACAUUCUGAUAAUACUUCUUUGCUUUUUAACCAUAGGUAAAGAAGAACAGUUCCCCUCCCCUUUCCCUUUAUGGGCAACUGUUAUGGCGUGAAUUUUUCUAUACAGCAGC
Molecule: small RNA, 472 nt
Filed under: Pongo abelii (Sumatran orangutan)
Lineage: Eukaryota; Metazoa; Chordata; Mammalia; Primates; Hominidae
Description: retained intron
Source: RNAcentral